Molecule: ribosomal RNA, 206 nt
Filed under: Acinetobacter pittii
Lineage: Bacteria; Pseudomonadati; Pseudomonadota; Gammaproteobacteria; Moraxellales; Moraxellaceae
Description: partial 16S ribosomal RNA
Rfam family: Bacterial small subunit ribosomal RNA
Source: RNAcentral
UUUAACUGAAGAGUUUGAUCAUGGCUCAGAUUGAACGCUGGCGGCAGGCUUAACACAUGCAAGUCGAGCGGAGAGAGGUAGCUUGCUACUGAUCUUAGCGGCGGACGGGUGAGUAAUGCUUAGGAAUCUGCCUAUUAGUGGGGGACAACAUUUCGAAAGGAAUGCUAAUACCGCAUACGUCCUACGGGAGAAAGCAGGGGAUCUUC